GGGGACGCAGUAGGAUAGGCGAAGCGUGCGAUUGGAUUGCACGUCUAAGCAGUAAGGCUGAGUAUUAGGCAAAUCCGGUACUCGUUAAGGCUGAGCUGUGAUGGGGAGAAGACAUUGUGUCUUCGAGUCGUUGAUUUCACACUGCCGAGAAAAGCCUCUAGAUAGAAAAUAGGUGCCCGUACCGCAAACCGACACAGGUAGUCAAGAUGAGAAUUCUAAGGUGAGCGAGCGAACUCUCGUUAAGGAACUCGGCAAAAUGACCCCGUAACUUCGGGAGAAGGGGUGCUCUUUAGGGUUAACGCCCAUAAGAGCCGCAGUGAAUAGGCCCAAGCGACUGUUUAUCAAAAACACAGGUCUCUGCUAAACCGUAAGGUGAUGUAUAGGGGCUGACGCCUGCCCGGUGCUGGAAGGUUAAGAGGAGUGGUUAGCUUCUGCGAAGCUACGAAUCGAAGCCCCAGUAAACGGCGGCCGUAACUAUAACGGUCCUAAGGUAGCGAAAUUCCUUGUCGGGUAAGUUCCGACCCGCACGAAAGGCGUAACGAUUUGGGCACUGUCUCAACGAGAGACUCGGUGAAAUCAUAGUACCUGUGAAGAUGCAGGUUACCCGCGACAGGACGGAAAGACCCCGUGGAGCUUUACUGUAGCCUGAUAUUGAAAUUCGGCACAGCUUGUACAGGAUAGGUAGGAGCCUUUGAAACGUGAGCGCUAGCUUACGUGGAGGCGCUGGUGGGAUACUACCCUAGCUGUGUUGGCUUUCUAACCCGCACCACUUAUCGUGGUGGGAGACAGUGUCAGGCGGGCAGUUUGACUGGGGCGGUCGCCUCCUAAAAGGUAACGGAGGCGCUCAAAGGUUCCCUCAGAAUGGUUGGAAAUCAUUCAUAGAGUGUAAAGGCAUAAGGGAGCUUGACUGCGAGACCUACAAGUCGAGCAGGGUCGAAAGACGGACUUAGUGAUCCGGUGGUUCCGCAUGGAAGGGCCAUCGCUCAACGGAUAAAAGCUACCCCGGGGAUAACAGGCUUAUCUCCCCCAAGAGUUCACAUCGACGGGGAGGUUUGGCACCUCGAUGUCGGCUCAUCGCAUCCUGGGGCUGUAGUCGGUCCCAAGGGUUGGGCUGUUCGCCCAUUAAAGCGGUACGCGAGCUGGGUUCAGAACGUCGUGAGACAGUUCGGUCCCUAUCCGUCGUGGGCGUAGGAAAUUUGAGAGGAGCUGUCCUUAGUACGAGAGGACCGGGAUGGACAUACCUCUGGUGUACCAGUUGUCGUGCCAACGGCAUAGCUGGGUAGCUAUGUGUGGACGGGAUAAGUGCUGAAAGCAUCUAAGCAUGAAGCCCCCCUCAAGAUGAGAUUUCCCAACUUCGGUUAUAAGAUCCCU
This 1371-nucleotide ribosomal RNA is filed under the name Staphylococcus aureus. RNAcentral describes it as "partial 23S ribosomal RNA". It matches the Rfam family "Bacterial large subunit ribosomal RNA", at positions 1468 to 2838 of the family's 2925-position model. Lineage: Bacteria; Bacillati; Bacillota; Bacilli; Caryophanales; Staphylococcaceae. The record is from RNAcentral.